This 253-nucleotide ribosomal RNA is filed under the name uncultured bacterium. Its description in RNAcentral is "partial 16S ribosomal RNA". It matches the Rfam family "Bacterial small subunit ribosomal RNA", at positions 524 to 776 of the family's 1533-position model. The record is from RNAcentral.
UACGUAGGGUGCAAGCGUUGUCCGGAAUUAUUGGGCGUAAAGAGCUUGUAGGCGGUUUGUCGCGUCUGCUGUGAAAUUUCGGGGCUCAACCCCGAACUUGCAGUGGGUACGGGCAGAUUAGAGUGUGGUAGGGGAGACUGGAAUUCCUGGUGUAGCGGUGAAAUGCGUAGAGAUCCGGAGGAACCCCAGAGGCGAAGGCGGCGUCCUGGCCCAUUUCUGACGUUCAGACAUGACAGCAUGGGGAGCGAACGGG